GUGUUCACGUCGGCAGCACAUAUACUCAAACUGGAAGGAUACAGAGAAGAUGAGCAAGGAUGACACACAAAUUUGUAACACGUUCCAUAUUUUU
Molecule: small nuclear RNA, 94 nt
Organism: Loxodonta africana (African savanna elephant)
Lineage: Eukaryota; Metazoa; Chordata; Mammalia; Proboscidea; Elephantidae
Source: Ensembl